This 253-nucleotide ribosomal RNA is filed under the name uncultured bacterium. Its description in RNAcentral is "partial 16S ribosomal RNA". It matches the Rfam family "Bacterial small subunit ribosomal RNA", at positions 524 to 776 of the family's 1533-position model. The record is from RNAcentral.
UACGAAGGGGGCUAGCGUUGUUCGGAAUUACUGGGCGUAAAGGGCGCGUAGGCUGUGCUGUAAGUCAGGCGUGAAAGGCCCGGGCUCAACCUGGGAAUGGCGCUUGAUACUGCGGCGCUGGAAGGUGGGAGAGGAUGGCGGAAUUCCCAGUGUAGAGGUGAAAUUCGUAGAUAUUGGGAAGAACACCGGUGGCGAAGGCGGCCAUCUGGCCCACAUUUGACGCUGAGGCGCGAAAGCAUGGGGAGCAAACAGG